UUUAAAUUGAGAGUUUGAUCCUGGCUCAGGACGAACGCUGGCGGCGUGCUUAACACAUGCAAGUCGAGCGGGGAACUUCGGUUCCCAGCGGCGGACGGGUGAGUAACACGUGGGUAACCUACCUCAUAGUGGGGAAUAGCCUUUCGAAAGGAAGAUUAAUACCGCAUAAUACUCGAGAAUCGCAUGAUUCUUGAGCCAAAGGAUUUAUUCGCUAUGAGAUGGACCCGCGGCGCAUUAGCUUGUUGGUGAGGUAACGGCUCACCAAGGCUUCGAUGCGUAGCCGACCUGAGAGGGUGAUCGGCCACAUUGGAACUGAGACACGGUCCAGACUCCUACGGGAGGCAGCAGUGGGGAAUAUUGCACAAUGGGGGAAACCCUGAUGCAGCAACGCCGCGUGAGUGAUGAAGGUCUUCGGAUCGUAAAACUCUGUCUUAUGGGACGAUAAUGACGGUACCAUAGGAGGAAGCCACGGCUAACUACGUGCCAGCAGCCGCGGUAAUACGUAGGUGGCAAGCGUUGUCCGGAUUUACUGGGCGUAAAGGAUGUGUAGGCGGAUAUUUAAGUGAGAUGUGAAAUCCCCGGGCUUAACUUGGGGGCUGCAUUUCAAACUGGAUGUCUGGAGUGCAGGAGAGGAAGGCAGAAUUCCUAGUGUAGCGGUGAAAUGCGUAGAGAUUAGGAAGAAUACCAGUGGCGAAGGCGGCCUUCUGGACUGUAACUGACGCUGAGGCAUGAAAGCGUGGGGAGCAAACAGGAUUAGAUACCCUGGUAGUCCACGCCGUAAACGAUGAAUACUAGGUGUAGGAGGUAUCGACUCCUUCUGUGCCGCAGUUAACACAAUAAGUAUUCCGCCUGGGAAGUACGGUCGCAAGAUUAAAACUCAAAGGAAUUGACGGGGACCCGCACAAGCAGCGGAGCAUGUGGUUUAAUUCGAAGCAACGCGAAGAACCUUACCUAGACUUGACAUCUCCUGAAUUAGUCCGUAAUGGAUGAAGUCCCUUCGGGGACAGGAUGACAGGUGGUGCAUGGUUGUCGUCAGCUCGUGUCGUGAGAUGUUGGGUUAAGUCCCGCAACGAGCGCAACCCUUAUCAUUAGUUGCUAACAUUUAGUUGAGCACUCUAGUGAGACUGCCCGGGUUAACCGGGAGGAAGGUGGGGAUGACGUCAAAUCAUCAUGCCCCUUAUGUCUAGGGCUACACACGUGCUACAAUGGUGGGGACAAAAAGAUGCAAUACCGCAAGGUGGAGCAAAACUCAAAACCCCAUCCCAGUUCGGAUUGUAGGCUGAAACUCGCCUACAUGAAGCCGGAGUUGCUAGUAAUCGCGAAUCAGAAUGUCGCGGUGAAUACGUUCCCGGGUCUUGUACACACCGCCCGUCACACCAUGAGAGUCGGCAACACCCGAAGCCCGUGAGGUAACCUGAGGUAACCUUUUGGAACCAGCGGUCGAAGGUGGGGUUGAUAAUUGGGGUGAAGUCGUAACAAGGUAGCCGUAGGAGAACCUGCGGCUGGAUCACCUCCUUUCU
Molecule: ribosomal RNA, 1520 nt
Filed under: Clostridium acetobutylicum ATCC 824
Lineage: Bacteria; Bacillati; Bacillota; Clostridia; Eubacteriales; Clostridiaceae
Also listed under: 1 other name
Rfam family: Bacterial small subunit ribosomal RNA
Source: RNAcentral